This is a long non-coding RNA of Capra hircus (goat), 2009 nucleotides long. NCBI's taxonomy places the organism in Eukaryota, Metazoa, Chordata, Mammalia, Artiodactyla, Bovidae. The record is from Ensembl.
CGCUGGGGGGCAUGGAGAGGGAAGACGUGGUUCAGUGUGGCGUGGGUGCCCAGGCCUUGCCACACCCACAGAGUGUGCCCACCUGCCUGCCACCCCGCAGGAUUGUGUGCACCAUCGAGGCUGCAGAGGCACCCUUGACAGGCGGUGUCGAGGUGGACAUCAACGGAGAAGCUCGGCCAUUCACCUCCCCAUGCCCAGUUCACCUACCAGCAGCCCCAGCCCCGCAGUGUGGAGCCCAAGCAGGGGCCGCAGGCAGGCGGCACACGCUGACCAUCAGUGGCACCACCUGGACACAGGCUCUGAGGAAGACGUGAGAGUGACCCUCAAUGGCGUCCCUUGUAACGUGACACAGUUUGGGGCCCAGCUUCAGUGUGUCACUGGCCCCCAGGCGGUUCCGGGAGAGCUGGCCCUGAAGAUUUACUAUGGGGGCUCCGAAGUGCCAGCCCUGGUAUCACCUUCACCUACCGUGAGAAUCCAGUACUGCGGGCCUUCGAGCACUGCGGAGCUUUGUCAGGUGUGACAGGGGCCCUUGGUAGCAGGUGCCCCCUACACCCACCCAUCCAACUGUUUCUCAGGCGCUCUCUGCCUCCAGCCUCGUGAGGAUUGGCAGAUACUGGUCUGCGUGACAGGAGGCCUCCAACACUCCCCCCUGUCCCCCAGGUCCCUUCCCCUAGACACCCAGGUGGACAGCCUCCCUGCCCUCUCACAGUGCAGGAUGGCAGUGCUCCGGGCACACCUGCUGCAAGGCAGGUCUGUGCUCACACUGGCCUGCAAGUAUAUCCCAGGUCGUGGUGGUGGGGUCAGGGACGGAGCCUUGCAGGGCACUCGCCUUACCCGGUGUGCCACUCUGGCGCUGUCUCCUCGCUGUCCCUCAGUGGUGGCCGCAGCAUCAACGUCACAGGACAGGGUUUCAGCCUAUCCAGAGGUUCGCCAUGGUCGUCAUAGCUGAGCCGUUGCAGUCCUGGAGGCAGCGGCGGGAGACCGCGACCCUGCAUUCCGUGACGGUCAGUCCUGGUGCCCGCUGCGGGUACAAGCCAGGGCUGGAGGCCCGCUGUGCCAGGUGGCCUAAAGGUCCCGCCUCGGCCCUCAGGUCGUGGGCACGGAGUACGUGUUCCACAACGACUCCAAGGUCGUGUUCCUGUCCCCGGCCGUCCCCGAGGAGCCCGAGGCCUACAACCUCACCGCGCUCAUCCGGAUGGACGGGCACCAGGCCCUGCUCAGGACGGAGGCUGGUGCCUUUGAGUACGUUGCCGACCCCACCUUCGAGAACUUCACGGGGGUGUCAAGAAGCAAGUCAACAAGCUCAUUCACGCGAGGGGCACCAACCUGAACAAGGCCAUGACCAUUCACGAGGCUGAAGCCUUUGUGGGUGCCGAGCGCUGCAUCAUGAAGACGCUGACGGAGACGGACCUGUACUGCGAGCCCCGGAGGUGCAGCCCCUCCCAAGCGGAGGCAGAAGCGAGACACGGCCCACAACCUGCCGGAGUUCAUUGUGCGUGUGUGGGCCGCGGGCUGGGGUGCGCACGGGGGUGUCCUUGGUGCGGCCCCCCUGGUCCUUGCUGAGUCCCUCCCCACGCAGGUGAAGUUUGGCUCACAGGGAGUGGGUGCUGGGCCGAGUAGAGUACGACACGCGCGCGAGUGACGUGCCCCUCAGCCCUAUCCUGCCGCUGGUCAUCGGGCCCAUGGUGGCUGUCAUUGCUGUAUCUGUCUACUGCUACUGGUGAGCCGGCGUCCACCCCUUGGCCACACCCACCGGCCGGCACCACCCAGGCCGGUCCCAGGAGCUUCCCUGUGUCCCCAGGAGGAAGAGCCAGCAGGCAGAGCGCGAGUACGAGAAGAUCAAGUCCCAGCUGGAGGGCCUGGAGGAAAGUGUGCGGGACCGCUGCAAAAAGGAGUUCACCGGUAGGCGGGUCUGGGGCGGGUCCCAGGAGCGCAGGGCUCAGGGCCGGAUCCCGGGGGAGGGGGCUUGGGGGCGGGUCCCGGGAGAGGGGGGCUCGAGGGCGAAUCCU